UAGCUGGUACGGCAUGGCUGGGUUUUACCUACUGCAAUAACACGAAAGUGAAGCCCCAGGGAUGCGAGAGCAGAGCAGCUGUGUGGCAGGACACGGGGCUCGACACAGAGCAUGCCUGGAAGAACUGCACCCCGCAUGUUUUCUCCUGCUGGAGACUUCCAUGCUGUAAGCUUUGCCUGUGACAAAGUUGGCAAGAUCACUGGCUGAGGUACCUUAUGGGAAUGAGCACCCCAAGCUCCACUGUUGACUUUCCUCUUUGAGCUGGGUUGGAGUACAGGUUCUUCAAAUGAUAAAAUCCAAAGUCAUAAUUGAAAAAGAAGUGGCCUACGUCAACCCAACUAACAGAUGUAGUUGUGUGACUGCUAGGCUGAGUGGUGAUUUUCCCUGUUGUGUUGCAUGAACUACUGCUUUCCUACAGUAACAACAGAUUUAAUAAGAUCCAAUCAACCAUUUUGGGGGAAUAUUUUUACAUAAGUUCAUCCACCUGCUGGUAUGGCAGAGACUAUGGUACUGUGUUUACAGCUGGUAGUCUUCACCGAUCCCGUGGGUUCUUCAGCUCUGCUUUCAGGAGAUAACAUUCAGGUGCUCAGGAUGCAUUUCUGAAGCUGGUUGCAGCAAAUGUAUCCGUUCAUUACACCGGGCGCUUACAUGCAAAAACAGCUGUAAUUCAGAUUGGGUAACUGCACACGGAGUACUGAUUUGUGCAGCUAGAUAACUGUGGGCAAAUAUAUGGGCGUAAGCUAGCAUGAAUUUACAGAUGGCAUGUAUGUGCUACCCCUCAGGACUCCACCCCUCAUCUUUCAUGUACAAAGCAAACGUAAGAGUCACGUACUGAUGAUGACCCUGGAUGAGGAGCAGUUUUAUAACACAGCAAACCAACAGGUAGUCUUCAGGCAUUCAGGACCACGUUCCUCAGGGCGGGGAAGUAUUUCUGCCACACUAAUACAUGAUGGGUGUGCUUGUUGAUCAGGCUGAGGCCAUUCUCAAACCUAGACUGGACCACUGCAUUUGUUGUUUGCACAAAAGCUGAGUAUGAGGCUGAGUUUGAAGCUUGCUCGUGGGAAAGAUCCGAAGUACAUUGAUGCUUAACCUCAAGCCAUGGUUUUGGUGAGAAAAUAGCCCCUCAUUCUGUCUGCAAUGUCUCCACUCUCUUAUAAAUAACGGUAGUGUUUUAUUCACAGAAAGGGAAAAAAUACAAAGCACCGAACCCAAGACGGACUAUGUUGCCCCCUAUUGUGGUGUUAACUAGAUUAGGCUAAUCUGUUUUCAGCUGAUAAUUUAAGCUUUAGGCUUGGAAAAUGCAGUAACAGUUACAUGUUUGAACAUAACAAGAGGAGCAUAUUAAAAAGCCUUAUCAAAAUUCCACAUUAAUAAAGCAAGCUAUCAGUGCAUCAGAGAACUGAAGAGUUUCCAUGUGCAAGCAUGCAAACAUAGUAAUAGAUUCCUUCUAAGGUCUUUAAUCCUCAGUAGCUACUGUUGGAAAAAUUCAGACUUCCCCCCUAGAACAGGAAAUUAAAUCUCAAAAAAAGUAUAUCCCUCAUGUUCUGACCAGUUUGACUAUUCAGUAACUUAUAUGUCAUAUUUAUUUUGAAAAGCAACUUUUUCAUAUAGUUCUGCUACAGAUGCAGUGUGUAAAGAGAUUUCACUGCUUAAACCUUAA
This is a long non-coding RNA of Gymnogyps californianus (California condor), 1660 nucleotides long. RefSeq lists it as uncharacterized. The record is from RefSeq and is a predicted model, not a curated record. NCBI's taxonomy places the organism in Eukaryota, Metazoa, Chordata, Aves, Accipitriformes, Cathartidae. The transcript is spliced from 3 exons.